This 102-nucleotide ribosomal RNA is filed under the name Bacillus velezensis. RNAcentral's name for it is "partial 16S ribosomal RNA". It matches the Rfam family "Bacterial small subunit ribosomal RNA", at positions 1 to 99 of the family's 1533-position model. The record is from RNAcentral. Lineage: Bacteria; Bacillati; Bacillota; Bacilli; Caryophanales; Bacillaceae.
UUAUUGGAGAGUUUGAUCCUGGCUCAGGACGAACGCUGGCGGCGUGCCUAAUACAUGCAAGUCGAGCGGACAGAUGGGAGCUUGCUCCCUGAUGUUAGCGGC